GCGAGUGAAGCGGCAAAAGCUCAAAUUUGAAAUCCCGCGGGAGUUGUAAUUUGAAGAGGAGUGGUUGGGCGGCGCGGUCUUCAAGUCCCUUGGAACAGGGCGCCUUAGAGGGUGAGAGCCCCGUGGAAGACCCCCCGCCGUCCUUUCGCCACCACCUCAACGAGUCGAGUUGUUUGGGAAUGCAGCUCAAAGUGGGUGGUAAAUUCCAUCUAAAGCUAAAUACCGGCGAGAGACCGAUAGCGAACAAGUACAGUGAUGGAAAGAUGAAAAGCACUUUGAAAAGAGAGUGAAACAGUACGUGAAAUUGUUGAAAGGGAAGGGCUUGCAAGCAGACACGGUCUUCGUACCGGGCCAGCAUCGGUUGCCAGGGGUGGACAAGGCGGCAGGAAUGUAGCUCACCGAGUAUUAUAUCCUGCCGAGAUACACCCACCGGCGUCCGAGGCCUGCGAUUCGUCUAGGAUGCUGGCGUAAUGGUUGCAAGCCGCCC
RNAcentral lists this ribosomal RNA (487 nucleotides) under [Candida] sp. GA7M01. RNAcentral's name for it is "eukaryotic LSU rRNA". It matches the Rfam family "Eukaryotic large subunit ribosomal RNA", at positions 89 to 650 of the family's 3401-position model. The record is from RNAcentral. RNAcentral also lists the same sequence under 1 other name. Lineage: Eukaryota; Fungi; Ascomycota; Saccharomycetes; Saccharomycetales.